CCCAUCCCCACCACACCCUCAAACGCAGCCGAUGCCCCAUCCCCAAAACUGUCUGUUCUCCGUUGCCGCCCUAGCUUGCUGUCCGCCGCCACUAAAGGUUGUCAAUUGCCGGAAUUAAGGUAGAUUUGCUAGAUAAGAAAGUAGCAACAGAGACAAAGUCUUUUUGGAAGCCGGAACAUGAGUCAUUAGUAGCGCAGAAUUUCGAGAAAAAGGCGGGGACUAUACUUAAGCAUGAGUUGCAUAGAGCCCGUGAAAAAGUCCUGAAGCCUAAGUAGAUCCAUGAUGAUAACUGGAAGAAACUGCUGCACUUCUGGGCGACUGAUUCGAUGUUUUUGAAGCAAAGUGAAAAUGGGAAGAAGACCACGGCCUCAGAUAAGGGUGGAUUUCGACACACUAGUGGGGUCACCAGCCAUGAAGUCGUUAGGAUGAAGCUGGUAUGUGACCCUAUUUAGCUUUGACUGUCUAUUAUGCAAUUUAAUAUUUCUAUUGCUUUGGUUACGUUACUAGCAAUAAUCCAAUCAAAUUCUUCUUGAUUGUACUCAUCUUGAAUUUCAAGUACCGGCAACAUUGUAUCAUUAAUUUUAGUGAAAGAAGAAUGAAGAAAUGAAUAGGAUUCUUGUGAAGUGAAA
Molecule: long non-coding RNA, 629 nt
Organism: Lycium ferocissimum
Lineage: Eukaryota; Viridiplantae; Streptophyta; Magnoliopsida; Solanales; Solanaceae
Exons: 3
Source: RefSeq, a predicted model, not a curated record